GACGAACGCUGGCGGCGUGCCUAAUACAUGCAAGUUGAGCACUGAAGGUUGGUACUUGUACCAACUGGAUGAGCAGCGAACGGGUGAGUAACGCGUGGGGAAUCUGCCUUUGAGCGGGGGACAACAUUUGGAAACGAAUGCUAAUACCGCAUAAAAACUUUAAACACAAGUUUUAAGUUUGAAAGAUGCAAUUGCAUCACUCAAAGAUGAUCCCGCGUUGUAUUAGCUAGUUGGUGAGGUAAAGGCUCACCAAGGCGAUGAUACAUAGCCGACCUGAGAGGGUGAUCGGCCACAUUGGGACUGAGACACGGCCCAAACUCCUACGGGAGGCAGCAGUAGGGAAUCCUCGGCAAUGGACGAAAGUCUGACCGAGCAACGCCGCGUGAGUGAAGAAGGUUUUCGGAUCGUAAAACUCUGUUGGUAGAGAAGAACGUUGGUGAGAGUGGAAAGCUCAUCAAGUGACGGUAACUACCCAGAAAGGGACGGCUAACUACGUG
Molecule: ribosomal RNA, 497 nt
Filed under: uncultured bacterium
Lineage: Bacteria
Description: partial 16S ribosomal RNA
Rfam family: Bacterial small subunit ribosomal RNA
Source: RNAcentral